AGCUUUGUGCAGUAGCAGUAUCCUUGCCAAUGAGGUUUAUCUGAGGCAAGAUUAUUGCUAAUUAAAAUAAAACUUAUGACACUUUCUGCUUACUUAAUGGUCAGUUUCUCUUCAGUAUUGUAGGAUCCUAGAGGGUAGACACAGUAUCUUACUCGAUUCUCUGCAGGUAGGCAAAAAUAAAUAUUUUAAGGAUAAAUCAGGAUUU
Molecule: small nuclear RNA, 205 nt
Filed under: Canis lupus familiaris (dog)
Lineage: Eukaryota; Metazoa; Chordata; Mammalia; Carnivora; Canidae
Description: U4 spliceosomal RNA (ENSCAFG00805013877.1)
Rfam family: U4 spliceosomal RNA (bases 1-136)
About the family: U4 small nuclear RNA (U4 snRNA) is a component of the major U2-dependent spliceosome. The structure of U4 snRNA from yeast and human has been reported.
Source: RNAcentral